RNAcentral lists this ribosomal RNA (1377 nucleotides) under uncultured bacterium. Its description in RNAcentral is "bacterial SSU rRNA". It matches the Rfam family "Bacterial small subunit ribosomal RNA", at positions 27 to 1395 of the family's 1533-position model. The record is from RNAcentral.
GAUUGAACGCUGGCGGUAUGCUUAACACAUGCAAGUCGAACGGAAACGAUACUAGCUUGCUAGUAGGCGUCGAGUGGCGGACGGGUGAGUAACGCGUAGGAAUCUGCCUGAUAGUGGGGGAUAGCCCGAAGAAAUUCGGAUUAAUACCGCAUAAUCUAUUCGUAGUAAAGUGGGGGACUUUCGAGCCUCACGCUAUCAGAUGAGCCUGCGUAAGAUUAGCUUGUUGGUAGGGUAAAAGCCUACCAAGGCGACGAUCUUUAGCUGGUCUGAGAGGAUGAUCAGCCACAUCGGGACUGAGACACGGCCCGAACUCCUACGGGAGGCAGCAGUGGGGAAUAUUGGACAAUGGGGGCAACCCUGAUCCAGCAAUACCGCGUGUGUGAAGAAGGCCUGAGGGUUGUAAAGCACUUUCAAUUGUGAAGAAAAGUUAGCGGUUAAUAACCGUUAGCCUUGACGUUAACUUUAGAAGAAGCACCGGCUAACUCCGUGCCAGCAGCCGCGGUAAUACGGAGGGUGCAAGCGUUAAUCGGAAUUACUGGGCGUAAAGCGUGCGUAGGUGGUUUAUUAAGUCAGAUGUGAAAGCCCCGGGCUUAACCUGGGAACUGCAUUUGAAACUGGUCAACUAGAGUAUGGUAGAGGAAAGUGGAAUUUCUGGUGUAGCGGUGAAAUGCGUAGAUAUCAGAAGGAACAUCAAUGGCGAAGGCAGCUUUCUGGACCAAUACUGACACUGAGGUACGAAAGCGUGGGUAGCAAACAGGAUUAGAUACCCUGGUAGUCCACGCCGUAAACGAUGAUAACUAGCCGUUGGGGGGAUUUACCCUUUAGUGGCGAAGCUAACGCGUUAAGUUAUCCGCCUGGGGAGUACGGCCGCAAGGUUAAAACUCAAAGGAAUUGACGGGGACCCGCACAAGCGGUGGAGCAUGUGGUUUAAUUCGAUGCAACGCGAAGAACCUUACCUGGUCUUGACAUCCUGCGAACUUUCUAGAAAUAGAUUGGUGCCUUCGGGAACGCAGUGACAGGUGCUGCAUGGCUGUCGUCAGCUCGUGUCGUGAGAUGUUGGGUUAAGUCCCGUAACGAGCGCAACCCUUAUCCUUAUUUGCCAGCACAUCAUGGUGGGAACUAUAAGGAGACUGCCGGUGAUAAACCGGAGGAAGGCGGGGACGACGUCAAGUCAUCAUGGCCCUUACGACCAGGGCUACACACGUGCUACAAUGGGAAGGACAAAGGGUUGCUAAGCCGCGAGGUGGUGCUAAUCUCAUAAACCUUUUCGUAGUCCGGAUUGGAGUCUGCAACUCGACUCCAUGAAGUCGGAAUCGCUAGUAAUCGUAGAUCAGAAUGCUACGGUGAAUACGUUCCCGGGUCUUGUACUCACCGCCC